AGUAGGAUAGGCAGACAGACGCACAUGUCCCUAUUGGACAGCUAACCAAAGGACCGAACUGUCACAGCCAGCCCAGUUGGGCAGAGGGCUGAAAUGGCUAGCCCUGGGACUGAGACGUCCCAUUUGGGCUAAACGCACAGAGGUGACUGGCAAGACAAAACAACGGGCUGAUCCGACUCUAAAGUCGUGUGGGCUGCGUCGGAUCCAGUCCAGCAUGUUUGACUAGACUGAGUCAAAAAAAUCUCCCCAUCUAUGCAGAGACAGAGAAGAAAGACAGCAAAGAAGACACUCUUUGAGACGCCAGAGUAAGCAUCCAAAUGUGUGUGUCUGUGUGUGAGUGUGCGCGCGGCAGUCGACUUGGCAUCUUAGCCUUGACUGACGGAUCCUUAGAGAUUGUUACAAAUCUGUUGACCUUUGACCUCCCCACUGAGUUGUAAAAACCACACUCCAUUUCCCUUAAGACUUUAACAGCCUGCAGAAGAGGUGUGUGCGUAUGUGCGCGUGUGCAUUUGCCUCUGUCUGUGUGAGUGUGUGAGUGUGUGCGUGCCGCUGCGUGUGUGCGCGGUGUAACCCUGAGGUUAAAGAGCAAUCUGCAGCCAAUUAAGCGCUUCACUAGGAGGGCCCUGCUUCCAUGAAUGAGAGGAAUGCUCUCCGAGCUUAAGAGAGAGGGACUUGACUCAGUGCUUUGGAAGAAGUAUAUGGGAGUGUGUAUGUGUGUGUGUGGUAGCUGUGUGUCAUGGUUGAGACGUUUACAGUGCAGGUUUGUGUGCUGGUAACAAUUAAGUGUCAGGGAGCUAAUGUAAGGGUUUAAAAGUUCACCACAUACAGAAGACUGGUGCUGUAGAGAGCUUGAAAGCAGCAGGCCUGACCUCAAAUUUACCACCUACUGAGCCAAUCACAGAGCCACAAGCCUCUAAAGAACAACAGGUGUGGAGGGUAAAAGUUUACUAUGGUGUUGAUAUGCAUCAAUGUGUUUGUUUCCUACGGAGCCCCAGAAGGGACAUGGAGGGCGGGAAAAAAUUGAAAGUUGAAAAAAGAAAUAUUUUGCGAGACUUAAGAGAAACUUUUGCGACAUCUCUUUUUUUGUUCAUUUAGGGUCCCUAGAGAGGCGAAGUCCCGCCCCUUCUGGUAGACAACCAUGGAACCUUUUUUAAGAAAAAAUAUGAACGGUAGUCAACGGCGAGAGAUAAAUAUUUUUUGAUCCCGUUUGAAUUGCUUCAUCAUACACACAUAUGAUGUUAGUCAAUUUAAAACAUAAUUUUGCAGUAUCAGACUGUGAAAAUACAUCAUUAAAAAGACUACACACCAACAAGUCUAGUAAGUGACAUCUCUCUCUCUGAAGCUCCGAUGUUUUGUACUGGGAUGAACUCACACCAGCAUCGGGUCUCGCUCGUUCUUUUGCUUUCCGGCUGAUGAAAAAAACCAGGAGUCGCUGGAUAAAACACAUCAGCGUGAAACCUCUAUCCUGAGACAGGAUAGAAGCACCAGAGAAUCAUACAGUAUAUCACUAGUGAGUUCUCUUUAUAAAGUGUCGCGCCAUGCAAUCAACAGCAGGGAAACACCUGCAAUAAUGAUGAAAGAAUCCCCGUCUUUAACAGAAGACGCUAAAUGGAAUUCAGCCAAUUCAUUGUAUUACACCUGUGCUUUUCCUGCUGAGACGUGUCAAGAUGUCAGCGGGGGAAAAAAGGCCUAUUGUACACCGCAGCAUUCAAACCAAACACUUGCAAAAUGUUCCUAACUGUGUGUUUGUUAUUUGACAUUCUUCUUUGGUUGUGAUUUAGUCUUCGUUUUUAUGUGUCAGUUAGAUAAAGAAAAGAUAAAUACUGCCAUCUGUUAUAAGAAAAUCACAUUCAAAGCAUGAAAAAAGAAAAGUACACGGAACAAAGUGAGGAGAGGGAAGUGUAAAAGCAAAGAGGGCGAGGAUGGAGGGAGGCAGGAAGGAGGGUGAGGUCGAUGUCCACGCUGCACUCCUUCUCCCGCCUCCCACCACCCCCACUACCUGCACCUCCUCCCAGCAGCCCCUGCCAUCCAUCAGUGGGUGAGCAGAGAGGAUCGGGGCCCAGAGUAAUGAGCCGUAAGCCCCCUUACACGUGUUGACGCGCCGCUAAAUAAGAUCCAUUUACCUAGGCUACCGCCGCCGCGCCCCGCCGACGACUGGAGGAGAAUGCGCCGCCCUCUCCGCCAACCCCCGCGACGCGCCUCAAACACACCUCUUGUCACGCACAGUCGUGCACUUCUGUGUGUGUGUGUAAGCUUACUUCCUGUUCCUCCCCGGCUAGUGGUGUCUAUCUGUAAAUCUGUCUGUGUGCGUCUCGGUGAAAGAAUAUCUACGUGUUUGUGCUGCGAGUGUGUUACAGUGUUCCUGUGUGUGUGUAAGUGUGUGUGUGUGUGUGCCUGUGGGCAGGGAGGACGGCGUGGUGAUCCAGUUACUCAAGACAGACAGAAGCAAUCGUUCUCCAGUUACAGAGUUUUCUCCUAGACUUGAGGGCAUCACUGUCAAGUGUCGAGGCCAUCAGGGAAGUCUCGCUUUAGACGAUUACACUCAAUCUGGUUUGCGUGUGUGUGUGUGUGUGUGUGUGGGGGGGUGUGGAGGUGUGUGUGUGUGUCAUGGGAGGAGGACCAUAAUGUGACCUCCGCUGCUCUAGAUGGGCUACAUUGAGGAUGUGUUCCUUUAACAAUGAUUUUGCAGUUUUUGCAGUUUUCAAAAUUGUCCAAAAAAGUUCAUCUUCAGCUAUAUUACAGCCAAUAGAAACACUGACUGAAGGUCCAUUCACAGCGGUAUAUAAAGUGCGUGUCAUACUCGGCCCCUAUGUGAAAACCAGCCAGUGUGUACGGGAGCAAACACCGCUCAUACAAAGCAUCCUCACAUAACAAAGGAGGAGAAUGGUGAGAGACACGGAAACAGAAAGGGAUGGAGAGAAAGAAGAAAUGUUUGCAAAUCAUAGAGAGAAAAAAAAAAAGGU
Sebastes umbrosus (honeycomb rockfish) is the source of this 2963-nucleotide long non-coding RNA. RefSeq lists it as uncharacterized. The transcript is spliced from 2 exons. NCBI's taxonomy places the organism in Eukaryota, Metazoa, Chordata, Actinopteri, Perciformes, Sebastidae. The record is from RefSeq and is a predicted model, not a curated record.